Molecule: ribosomal RNA, 405 nt
Filed under: uncultured bacterium
Lineage: Bacteria
Description: bacterial SSU rRNA
Rfam family: Bacterial small subunit ribosomal RNA
Source: RNAcentral
AGCCUUUGACAUGCCUCGGACGGUUACCAGAGAUGGUUUCUUCUCUUCGGAGCCGGGGACACAGGUGCUGCAUGGCUGUCGUCAGCUCGUGUCGUGAGAUGUUGGGUUAAGUCCCGCAACGAGCGCAACCCUCGCCCUUAGUUGCCAUCAUUUAGUUGGGCACUCUAAGGGGACUGCCGGUGAUAAGCCGCGAGGAAGGUGGGGAUGACGUCAAGUCCUCAUGGCCCUUACGGGCUGGGAUACACACGUGCUACAAUGGCGGUGACAAUGGGAUGCAAUGGGGCAACCCUGCGCAAAUCUCAAAAAGCCGUCUCAGUUCGGAUUGUGCUCUGCAACUCGAGCACAUGAAGUUGGAAUCGCUAGUAAUCGCAGAUCAGCACGCUGCGGUGAAUACGUUCCCGGGCC